AGAUUGAACGCUGGCGGCGUGCCUAACACAUGCAAGUCGAACGGGAGUAGCAAUACUCUAGUGGCGGACGGGUGAGGAAUACGUAGGAAUUUGCCCUUAAGUGGGGGAUAACCCGGGGAAACCCGGAUUAAUACCGCAUGACCUCGAAAGAGCGAAGUGGGGGAUCGCAAGACCUCACGCUUUUGGAGAAGCCUACGUCGGAUUAGCUAGUUGGUGAGGUAAUGGCUCACCAAGGCGACGAUCCGUAACUGGUCUGAGAGGAUGAUCAGUCACACCGGAACUGAGACACGGUCCGGACUCCUACGGGAGGCAGCAGUGGGGGAAUAUUGGACAAUGGGCGCAAGCCUGAUCCAGCAAUGCCGCGUGUGUGAAGAAGGCCUUGGGUUGUAAAGCAAC
This 396-nucleotide ribosomal RNA is filed under the name uncultured soil bacterium. Its description in RNAcentral is "bacterial SSU rRNA". It matches the Rfam family "Bacterial small subunit ribosomal RNA", at positions 26 to 434 of the family's 1533-position model. The record is from RNAcentral.